UCCUACGGGAGGCAGCAGUGGGGAAUAUUGGACAAUGGGGGGAACCCUGAUCCAGCCAUGCCGCGUGUGUGAAGAAGGCCUUUUGGUUGUAAAGCACUUUAAGCGAGGAGGAGGCUACCUAGAUUAAUACUCUGGGAUAGUGGACGUUACUCGCAGAAUAAGCACCGGCUAACUCUGUGCCAGCAGCCGCGGUAAUACAGAGGGUGCAAGCGUUAAUCGGAUUUACUGGGCGUAAAGCGUGCGUAGGUGGCCAAUUAAGUCAAAUGUGAAAUCCCUGAGCUUAACUUAGGAAUUGCAUUCGAUACUGGUUGGCUAGAGUAUGGGAGAGGAUGGUAGAAUUCCAGGUGUAGCGGUGAAAUGCGUAGAGAUCUGGAGGAAUACCGAUGGCGAAGGCAGCCAUCUGGCCUAAUACUGACACUGAGGUACGAAAGCAUGGGGAGCAAACAGGAUUAGAUACCCUGGUAGUCC
RNAcentral lists this ribosomal RNA (468 nucleotides) under uncultured bacterium. RNAcentral describes it as "bacterial SSU rRNA". It matches the Rfam family "Bacterial small subunit ribosomal RNA", at positions 337 to 796 of the family's 1533-position model. The record is from RNAcentral.